AGAAAAUUUAUUUGCUUCCAACAAUUACUUUUGUAAUACAUGUGAGCAAAAUUUGGGUGCAGCAACAAUGUUCACUCAAAGAUACAUUUGAGAAAUUGUGGGACCCACGAAAAUAGAAUUGAGACAAAUAGUGGGUGGUCGUACGUGAACUUGCAUCAUAUGUUCAGAUUGAAUGGCCAAUUGAAUUGAGAAGAACAGUGUAGAAGUUGGGAUUCGCAUGAAAUUGGAGUGAAACAACACGAUAACUUGGGCUGCACAAUUCUAAUUGAAGAAUUUUAUUUCAGUAAUUUUGGAGGUACGAAAAGCAGGAUUACAAUUUUUAAUUUGGGCCAAGCUACAUUGGGCUAGUCACAUUUUGGGUUCCAUGCUCUAUUAAGAAAUUUGAUCAUUCUUUAUUUUAAUUUUGUAAUCCAUUCUAGUGCCUAUUUUUAAGUGUUUUCUUUGGAGUGACUACUUUCUUGAAAACGUUUAAUUUUUUGUUUGUCUUGAUUUUAUGGAUAAUCUUUGUGUUUGUCAUCUCUGAUCUCCUUUGAGUUUUACUCUUCAAAUUAAGCUUUUAUUGUUUUUAUUAUGACCUCUUAAAGUGGAAUAUACCUUGAAUUUGUUCUUUGUGAGAAUUAAGCUAACUUCUAGGUAGCAUCCUAAGAGAAGGCAAAGAAUUUUGCAAGGGGUAUCACCUUUGGAGGAGAAACAAGUAAAGGCUUGGAGAGAAACACUUGUGAGAGAAGAGAAGAGAACUUUUAAGAUUAUUUUUUUAAAUUUUGUGUGAUUUCAAUUGUUUUGUAAUUUGGCCAUUAUCUUUACUUUAGGUGUCAUGGAGGAGCCUUUGGUGUUCUUAGAUGACCGGGAGAAUAUUGAAGCGAAAUUGGAAGAUGAGGAUAAGACUUUACUUCUUCUUAGUACCUUAUCCAAAAAGUAUGAACAUUUUAAAGACGUUUUCUUUGUUCGGGAAGGAGCAUAUCAUUACCCUAGAGGAGAUGUAAACCUUUAUAAGGAUUAAGGGGCUUCAAAAGUUUAAAGAGUUAAAGGGGGUAAGAAAAUGGGUUGAGUUUGAAUGUGUCAAAGUCAAAGGGA
Molecule: long non-coding RNA, 1074 nt
Filed under: Phaseolus vulgaris (common bean)
Lineage: Eukaryota; Viridiplantae; Streptophyta; Magnoliopsida; Fabales; Fabaceae
Description: long non-coding RNA (PVUL_LNC003021)
Source: RNAcentral